Non-coding RNA from Prunus mume (Japanese apricot), 1778 nucleotides. Lineage: Eukaryota; Viridiplantae; Streptophyta; Magnoliopsida; Rosales; Rosaceae. The record is from RefSeq and is a predicted model, not a curated record.
AUGGCUUUCUCCAAAGUUCUUGGAGAAACACAAAAUACCUGCAAAGAAUUGAAGUGUGGGGAUAAAGGCCCGCCUAUCCAUUUCCCUUUCAGCCUCAAAGAUAGGCAACCAGAUCACUGUGGCUAUCGUGGGUUUGCUGUGUCUUGCAAUGAGAGACAUCAGACGGUUCUUGAGCUGCCAAUUCUAGUCAAACUCUGUGUUAAAAGCAUAGAUUAUGAGCAUCAGCAAAUCUCUCUGUACGACUCAGAUAAUUGCCUGCUAGUAAAAGUUUCAGAAAUCCUCAACAUGUCAAUCUUCCCUUUCCACUUUUCAAAAGAGUCCAUGAACAUUACCUUAUUCAAUUGUUCUUCUGUUCUUGAAAGACGGCCAUAUAAUGAUCAGGUUCUAAAUGGCCCCUGCCACAGCAACCUUGGCAAUCAAAUCUAUGCCGUUUAUGAUAACUACGAAAUUGAUAACCUCCAGUCUUGCACAAAGAUGCAUAAUGUUUUAUCAGUUCCAGUUUCAAAUUCAGACAGAUCUCUUAGUGUUUUGAGAUGGUCUCCACCAAAUUGCACAGAAUGUGAAGCAGGAGGCAAGAAGUGUAUGCUGAAGAACAAUGGCACCAGAGUUGAAAUUGAAUGUGUUGACUUGAAGAAAGCAAGUGCAGCAACGAAAUUAGCGGCUACCAGUGCAACCCUGGGUUCAUUCGUCCUCUUACUACUGGUUGUUGCAGUCUAUCAGGUCUAUAGCUAUGAUAUAAAGGAAAACGAGAAUCGAUUAAAAAUUGAAAGAUUUCUAGAGGAUUACAAGGUCUUCAAACCAAGUAUAGAUAUUCCAUGCAGAUAUUAAGAGGAUUACAAAUCAGUUCACGGACAAGUUAGGCGAAGGAGCCUACGGAACUGUUUAUAAAGGAAAGCUUUCUUCUGAAAUCUUCGUUGCUGUGAAGGUCCUCAAUAGUUCUAACGGAAACGGGGAAGAGUUCAUAAAUGAAGUGGGAACAAUGGGCCAUAUCCACCAUGUCAACGUGGUUCGCUUGGUUGGCUUCUGUGCUGAUGGAUUUAGAAGAGCUCUUCUUUAUGAGUUCUUCUCCAAUGGUUCACUGCAAGAUUACAUUUCAUCAGUGGGCAACAAGAAUGGGUUCUGUGGUUGGGAUAAGUUGCAAGAUAUUGCCAUAGGCAUAGCCAGAGGCAUUGAAUAUCUUCACCAAGGAUGUGAUCGGCGAAUUCUCCAUUUUGAUAUCAAACCUUGUAAUGUUUUGAUAGACCACAACUUCACUCCAAAGAUAUCAGACUUUGGUUUGGCGAAGUUAUGUUCCAAGGAUCAAAGCAGUGUCAAUGACUACAGCUAGGGGGACCAUGGGCUACAUUGCACCUGAAGUGUUCUCCAGGAACUUUGGAAAUGUGUCCUAUAAGUCAGAUGUGUGUAGUUUUGGAAUGCUACUGCUUGAGAUAGUAGGAGGAAGGACGAAUGUCAGUUCACCCACAGAGAACACAAAUGAAAUUUACUACCCUGAAUGGAUUUAUAAUCUUCUAGAAGAGGGAGAUGACCUAUCAAUCCAUAUGGGUGAAGAAGGAGAUGGUAAAAUUCCAAACAAACUUGCAAUUGUAGGACUCUGGUGCAUCCAAUGGUAUCCAGUCAAUCGUCCUUCAAUGAAAGCUGUGGUUCAGAUGCUGGAAAAAGGAGAAAACCUAACCGUGCCUCCCAAUCCUUUUGCCUCUACAGGUGCCACACAAACAAAUGCGAGUAGGCCUGCAAGAAAUCUUAACAUUCAGUUAGAAGUGAUUCCUGAGUUGGAGUAA